Molecule: long non-coding RNA, 480 nt
Organism: Oncorhynchus tshawytscha (Chinook salmon)
Lineage: Eukaryota; Metazoa; Chordata; Actinopteri; Salmoniformes; Salmonidae
Source: Ensembl
GGAGGCUAUAUACAGGGGGUACCGGUACAGAGUCAAUGUGGAGGCUAUAUACAGGGGGUACCGGUACAGAGUCAAUGUGGAGGCUAUAUACAGGGGGUACCGGUACAGAGUCAAUGUGGAGGCUAUAUACAGGGAGUACCGGUACAGAGUUAAUGUGGAGGCUAUAUACAGGGAGUACUGGUACAGAGUCAAUGUGGAGGCUAUAUACAGGGGGUACCGGUACAGAGUCAAUGUGGAGGCUAUAUACAGGGGGUACUGGUACAGAGUCAAUGUGGAGGCUAUAUACAGGGGUACUGGUACAGAGUCAAUGUGGAGGCUAUAUACAGGGGGUACUGGUACAGAGUCAAUGUGGAGGCUAUAUACAGGGGGUACCGGUACAGAGUCAAUGUGGAGGCUAUAUACAGGAGGUACCGGUACAGAGUCAAUGUGGAGGCUAUAUACAGGGGUACCGGUACAGAGUCAAUGUGGAGGCUAUAUACA